Molecule: ribosomal RNA, 497 nt
Filed under: uncultured bacterium
Lineage: Bacteria
Description: partial 16S ribosomal RNA
Rfam family: Bacterial small subunit ribosomal RNA
Source: RNAcentral
GAUGAACGCUGGCGGCGUGCCUAAUACAUGCAAGUCGAGCGAACAGACGAGGCGCUUGCUCCUCUGACGUUAGCGGAGGACGGGUGAGUAACACGUGGAUCACCUACCUAUCUGACUGGGAUCACCACGGGAAACCGGAGCUUAUACCGGAUAAUAUACUGCACCGUAUGGUUCAAUAGUGAAAGACGGCUUUGCUGUCACUUAUAGCUGGAUCCGCGCCGCAUUAGCUAGUUGGUAAGGUCACGGCUUAUCACGGCAACGAUGCGUAUCCGACCUGAGAGGGUGGUCGGCCGCACGAGAGCGGAGACGCGGACCAGACUCCUGCGAGAGGCAGCAGUAGGGUAUCGGCCGCAGUAGGCGAAAGCCUUGCAGAGCGACGCGGCGUGUGAUGUGGAGGUCUUCGGAGCGUGAUACUCUGUUAUGAGGUAUAAACAAAUGUGUAAGGAACUAUGCACGUCUUGACGGUACCUGGUCAGAAAGCCACGGCUAACUACGUG